UACGGAGGGUGCGAGCGUUAAUCGGAAUUACUGGGCGUAAAGGGCGCGUAGGCGGCGAUACAAGUCUGGUGUGAAAGUCCUGGGCUUAACCUGGGGAUGGCGUCCGAAACUGUAUGGCUAGAGUAGGGUAGAGGGAGGUAGAAUUUCCGGUGUAGCGGUGAAAUGCGUAGAGAUCGGAAGGAAUACCAGUGGCGAAGGCGGCCUCCUGGACGCAUACUGACGCUGAGGCGCGAAAGCAUGGGGAGCAAACAGG
This 253-nucleotide ribosomal RNA is filed under the name uncultured bacterium. Its description in RNAcentral is "partial 16S ribosomal RNA". It matches the Rfam family "Bacterial small subunit ribosomal RNA", at positions 524 to 776 of the family's 1533-position model. The record is from RNAcentral.